RNAcentral lists this long non-coding RNA (260 nucleotides) under Nicotiana benthamiana. Its description in RNAcentral is "long non-coding RNA (NBEN_LNC009203)". The record is from RNAcentral. Lineage: Eukaryota; Viridiplantae; Streptophyta; Magnoliopsida; Solanales; Solanaceae.
GCUAUGGAGCUCUAUUGUGGGACUACGCCACAAAGAAGCUAACAGAUGGUUCAAUCAGUGAGAGUGAGGUUACUGGCAGGCUUGCAAGGAGGAAGGGUUCACCGGCAAAGAAUGAGAGGACUAAAGUUCAACGAAAUAAGAAGUAGACUAUGCUGUUCAUAUUUGGUAGUUGGAUUGGAAAACAAUGUAAUUAUUAGGUCAUUUUGGUUGUAAUGAACAAUUUUUCAUGAAUACAUUAUACACGAGUAUUCGAGCUAUCU